RNAcentral lists this ribosomal RNA (429 nucleotides) under uncultured archaeon. Its description in RNAcentral is "bacterial SSU rRNA". It matches the Rfam family "Archaeal small subunit ribosomal RNA", at positions 474 to 903 of the family's 1478-position model. The record is from RNAcentral.
UACCAGCUCUCCGAGUGGUAGGGAUGAUUAUUGGGCUUAAAGCGUCCGUAGCCGGCUUAGCAAGUCUCCUGUUAAAUUCAGCGACCUAAUCGUUGAGCCGCGGGAGAUACUACUAGGCUAGGAGGCGGGAGAGGUCAACGGUACUUCCGGGGUAGGGGUGAAAUCCUAUAAUCCCGGGAGGACCACCAGUGGCGAAGGCUGUUGGCUAGAACGCGCUCGACGGUGAGGGACGAAAGCUGGGGGAGCGAACCGGAUUAGAUACCCGGGUAGUCCCAGCUGUAAACGAUGCGAGCUAGGUGUUGGGGUGGCUACGUGCCACUUCAGUGCCGCAGGGAAGCCAUUAAGCUCGCCGCCUGGGGAGUACAACCGCAAGGCUGAAACUUAAAGGAAUUGGCGGGGGAGCACCACAAGGGGUGAAGCUUGCGGUUU